Parambassis ranga (Indian glassy fish) is the source of this 8085-nucleotide long non-coding RNA. The record is from Ensembl. NCBI's taxonomy places the organism in Eukaryota, Metazoa, Chordata, Actinopteri, Ambassidae.
AUGUUAUUUUUCAGAAAAACAGACUCUGCACUUGAAAACCAACAGCUGAGUAAUCAAUCAAAGAUGGGGAACGUACCAUCAGAAAGUCACAUGGGUAACAGCCUGCGAUGUCAUAUAUGUCAGAAAGUCCUGCCUCCAUGCCAUUCCUUCGAUAACUUACACAAAGCCACUGUUCAUGGGCGGUUUGUAUAUGUGUUCAAUGGAGGGGAAUACUACAGACCGGUUGGUUAUACUAAUAUGUAUGAGUGUGAAUACUGCUUUAACAAGCCAAUUAGGGAUCAGGAGGAGAGGAGGAGAGAGGAGGAGAGGAGGAGAGAAGAGGAGAGAAGAAGACAGGAGGAGGAGAGGAGGAGAGAAGAAGAGAGAAGAAGACAGGAGGAGGAGAGGAGGAGAGAAGAGGAGAGAAGAAGACAGGAGGAGGAGAGGAGGAGAGAAGAAGAGAGAAGACAGGAGGAGGAGAGGAGGAGAGAAGAAGAGAGAAGAAGACAGGAGGAGGAGAGGAGGAGAGAAGAGGAGAGAAGACAGGAAGAAUUGAAUCAAAGACUAGAAGAAUCACACAAACGAGCCAAAGAGCAGUAUGAGAAUCAGCUGGACAGCAACAUUUCAGAAGAAAAGGAGCAAAAACAAAAUGUUCUAAAAGAGCAUUUGGAUGAGUUUGAAGAUAAAUAUGAAUCAGACCGUGACGAGCUUCUAAAAAUCCUCUCUGUGAAAUGCAGCAUCCCAGUUGAAAAUCUCAGUCUUACUCAGCUAACAGCUGAUCAGCUGGGGCAGGUCCUGUCAGUCCUGGACAAACUUCUCUUUGAUGAAUGGAUCAGUGAUCCUCCAUCUCUCAGCACUCUGCAGCACAGUCAAGUGUUCAUCACAGAGCUGUGUGCCCUGUCUCUGGAGAUAUCUGAGGGAGUCUCCCUCCAAACGGUCUCCAAUCAUGUGCAGUCUUUGGUGGUGUCCAUCAGCCAAUCAGCAUCUGAUGCUUUUGAGAGUUUCUUGCUGACUCAAGCUCUGUAUCUGAACCUGAUGCACUUUUUCACUGACCAUGGUGACUCUGAUAACGACGCAGUCCUCAUUGCCAAACACUGGGCUGAAGAAGAACUUUCCACAGAGAACCUCUUUCUUAUUGACUUCCUGGGCACCCUCACAUCAUCACUGCAGAAAGCAGUGGGAACAGCUUCUGUGUUCAUUUUAAAGAUGGAAAUCCAGUGUUUGAAGCUUCUCUUACACACACUCACACAUCUGAAUGGAAAAGAAGCCCACUCAGAAUCCACUGAAAUGCUCCUCAGACUUGUACAAACAAACCAAUGGACCCCACCAGAGGCACUGACUCUGCUUAAAGCAUUGUCACUGAAAAAUGUUUCAAUGAUGAAAGCCAUUACACUGGUACAAGUGUAUGCCAUAUCACCAGAGUGGACAGAUGAGUCUGGACACUCUUUAGUCCAGACUAUUGACAUUGCUGACCCUGAGACAUUCCAUCAGGAUUUCCAAAAGACUCUCAGGAGGAAAGAUGAGAGCAGCCUGGAUGAAGCUCUACAAGAGGUAAAACUGGUUUGGAGUUUGGAUGAUUCUCAGAGUGAUAUGAUAAAAGAUGUGACCAGUGGUGUCCUACAAUAUUCUGAAAAUAUACCAAAAGAUGCAGCAUUUAUGAAAGACUCAUUUAAAAGUGUAACCCUGAGUGCAGACCACAUGAAGAACUCUCUGUGUCAACUCUGCAAAGCAGUUUUUGAAUCAAAAGGCUGGUGGCCUACAGUGAGGCACAUGCUGCGUUGGUGUGCACUGGUGCUGACUGAAAAGAGUGAAGUUCUACAGCUGGUUGGUAUGGAAGAAGACCCAUGUGUCACUGCCAUGUUUGCAGCCACACAAGUCUGCAUGGGAAACAAACUGGACAUUGUGUUGAGCUCUGAUGCUCCUUCACAGCACAAAACUAUGGAGUGGUCUGACUUCUACAAGAACCUCCACAUUUCUCUCAAAACAAACAAGAGAAAGACUGCAUCAUACAGGGACGUCUAUGAAGAAGACAUUGUGUACGGCACCAUGGAUGACUUUGUCUCUGAUUAUUUUCAACACAGUAUAGAGGUGAUGGAGACAAGGAACCCUCAGCUGAGUCGUGGUUUUAUCAUUGAAGAACAAUGUGUCAAUGCUUCCUAUGAUCUGAAACUCUCCCGGCUCAAAGAAAAUCAUUUCCUGGUGCCUGCUGCAGAGGUCCUGAAAAGGCUCAUGGGUAAAUUUCAUGGUGAAGAUACAGAGCAGAGACGCAGAUUCAUUAAGGCUCUUUUCCAGGUGUUGCACACAAUCCAAAGCAAAGACACAACCACAGACGCUAAAUUUAUCACUAUCUCAAAGAAAAUUACUGGAAAGGGAUUUUCUCCUAAUGAGGCCUUCAUUCUGACCUUUCUUGAGAAUCUACUGAGAGUGGUUACUGACAAAACAGACGCUGAGAAUAACAGAACAUCUCUUGCAGCCAAAUGGUGUUCUGAGAUUUUAUUUGACUGUGCUGAGCAUGUCCAGGCUUCAGACAUACAGACCCAAGAACUCUUCCAGAUGGUUUCAAGCCUGGUAGAACAAAAUCUUUGGUCACCAGUAGAGGCUUUAAACCUCCUGGAAGCUUUGACAGACCACCAUCAUGAUGAAGGCUGUAUUUCCAUCAGGAAGAUUUUACAUUUAAUGGCAACAUAUCAGGUCUCCUCCAAGUGGACAGAUGAGAGCAACAAAACCCUCCUUACACUCUUAGAUUCAAACAAAACUGAGAAUCUCAUUAAGCAUUUAAAAAAGGCUCUGAGAGAUGAGGAAACAAAGAGCAUCGACACUCUAAUGGAUGAAAUACGACAGAUGAAAGACAUUGAUGAACCAACACUCAGUAAAUCACACAGUGUAGUAACUCAUGUAGCAAACCUGAUCAAAACAGGUGAAAUUAAAACACACACAAACAUACAGCAGGCAAGGAAUAUGAGUCACAGUAAGGACACAAAAGACCUUCAGGAGGUGCUGGCAGUCUUAUGCAAUGCUGUAAACCUGCACAAUGCUGGAGGGAAGUGGUGGCCAAGACAUAAUCAGAUGAUAAGCUGGUGCCUCUUGGCCUUGUCUGACACUGGGAAGCUCCUGGAAAUGGGGACUGGAGAAGGGAAGUCUUGUGUCAUCGCAAUGUUUGCAGUGCUGCGUGUUCUUCAGGGUGAAAAAGUAGAUGUGGUGUCCAGCUCGUCUGUGUUGUGCCAGAGGGAUGCAGAAGAAUGGGCAGAGUUCUACAAGUACUUUGGCAUUACAGUUGACACAAACACAAACAAAAACCAGGACGAAGAUCGCAAAAAAUGUUACCAGAAGGACGUGGUCUAUGGAACCAUUGAAGCCUUUGCUGCAGAUCACCUUCGCCAGAUAUUUGAAAUGAAGGAUGUGAGGCCUGAUCGCAAGUAUCAAUGCAUCAUAAUCGAUGAAGUGGACUCACUGCUGCUGGACCAGGGCGUGCAACUGACAUACCUGUCAAGCCCCAUGGUCUCCAUGCAGCACCUAAACACGAUUCUGGCCAUGAUCUGGGGCCACGUCAGCCAAUAUGGCUUCCUUUCUGCAGGAAACAAGACUUUUGUGCAGAGCCCCCCGGCUUCAUUCUUCAAGGCUAUCUUUGACUCCAUGAACACAGAAGAAACUGAAAUUGAUGAUCCAAUGGACAUUUUACAGAUCGCUGAAGAAACCAACAUUGUGCCAAAAGGAUUUACAGAGGAUAUUCACAAAAGUGAAAAGGAUGAACUUUUUAAGAAACUGAAAACUGUGAGUCAGGAUGAUAUGAUCGCGUUUUUCAAAGAAAUUGAAGACUAUGUCCCCUAUGGUUUUACCAUUUACACUUUAGACGACAAGGGAUUGCUCUCUCUUCAAAAACGCAGCCCAUAUGAUACCCGAGACAUUCCAGAACUCACAUUUCUUGUCUUGGAAGACGGCUUGUGUUGUACUCUCUAUGAUUCAGAAGAAACUCUCAUCAAGCCCAUUGCAGAGUUAAUCUCAGAGAAGAUUCAGUUCACUCCAUGUACAAAUGACAAGGAAAAAAUCAGUAUUCCUGGAUUCUUGAAGAUUCUGAUUGAGAAGAAGCUGCCAGUAUGGGUCCAGAAUGCUUUUCUGGCAAUGCUGCUGAAACAAGGACGGGAAUAUGUAGUGGAAAACGACAAUGUCUGUCCAGUGGAUUUCAGAUCCACAGGUAUUGUAGAGCUGAACAAGAAAUGGGGUGAUGGUCUGCAACAGUUUGUUGAGAUUAAACACCAAAUCAAACUGAGCACCAUUUCAACAGUGACUAACUACAUUUCCAAUGUUUCCUUUUUUGAAAAGUACCAUGGAAAGAUAUAUGGAACAACAGGAACACUUGGGAGCAAAUCAGACAUUGAGUUUUUGCAGGGCUUAUAUCCUAAUCUGUCUGCCUGCAAAAUGCCAACAUUCAACAGGAAGAAGCUCUAUGAGGUGAAAGGUACUCUGACAAACUGUGCUGAGGAGUGGAAAUCAGAAAUAAAACGUGUAGUUAUGGCUCAGAUCUCCCCAAAUUCAUACAGAGAAGGGAGGGCAGCCUUGGUGAUCUGUGAAACUAUCAACAAAGCCAAAGAGAUCCAUGAGGAGCUGAAAAGCUGUGUUCCUGGUGAAACCAUUCUCUACUGCCGUAGUGACAAAGAAAGUUUGAGCAAAAUAGAAAAGGAACUGCUUCCUGGUGAUGUCAUUGUUGCCACUAACCUUGCUGGGCGUGGCACAGACAUAAAAGUCUCCAAAGAAGUGAACAGUAAUGGAGGAUUAUUUGUGAUUCUCUCCUUCCUUUCUGAGAACACAAGAGUAGAACUCCAGGCCUUUGGUCGAACUGCACGCAAAGGUAAGCCUGGAUCGGCUCAGGUAAUCAUGUGCACUGAACACCUGCAGCAGUCUUUCAGAAGAGCAUCUACUCUGAAGGAAGCUAAACACACAAGAGAUGAACUGGCAGCAGAAAAAGUAAAUGAAAUGAUGAACGAUGUUGCUGAGAUGAAACUGCGAGAGGACCUGUUUGCAGAAUACUGCAAGACUCUUCAUGAUAUAUAUAAAAGGGCAGAUGGAGAUGAGAGAAGAGCUGUUGUUGCCAUCAUGAAUGAGUUCUGGGGGAUAUGGCUGCAGACUAAAUCAGAAGAAAUUGACCAGUUGAAGAGAGAUGAUUUGGAAAAGAGUUUGAAAGCUGACUUGACAUUGGCAACGAGUCAAACUCAAAGCCAGACUUCACCGUGCUCCAGCAUUUAUCACUACAUCAAGUUUGGAAAUGUCGCACUGAGUGAGAAACAAUGGGACGUCAGCACCAGGCUGUUUGAGAAAGCCAUGAAACUAGAUGAAAACUGGGCAGCUAUAGCUUUUUACAACCAUGCAUACUGUACUAUAAACCAGAGUAGUGAAAAUUAUCUCAACAAGGCCAGAGAUGAUCUACUCAAGGCACAAGAGUCUCUAAAGUAUCUCAGUGAGGAAUGCAUAGUCUGUCUGCAAUUUGCAAAAAUGUCCUCUGCAGAGUCAGCCAACAGUGACCCAACAGGCCUUGAGAAACAGUUAACAACCAAGUGCAAUAUGUUCAGUUACUUAGACAAAAACAUAAAUGAGGCUAUUCAAAAAGUGGAUGAAAUUCAGAAAAAGGGGAGAGAUGCCAUUGCUAAAAAAUCACCAAUUUUUUCCCUGGUAUCAUCUGCUGAUGAGGAUCUCCAAGUGGAAGCCUACAACCUCUACAAUCAAGGCCUGAAGUAUGUAUUCUCUGUGGAAGAGAAGCCUCGUUUCCCAUGGGAAGCUCUGUUGGUUUUCUUUCUUGGUAUUUUACAGAUUAUUGCUGGAGCACUGCUCACUGCAUUUACAUUUGGUGCAAUGGCUCAAGUUGGCAUGGGACUCAUCACUGAAGGAAUAUCAGACUGCAUCUAUGGUAUAGAGUCCAUGGUGACAGGAGAGUUCAGUUGGAAGUCAUGGGCUAUAGAUAAAGCCAUUUCCAUUGGUGUGUCUCUCAUCGGGUUUGGAAUUGGAAAACUGAUUGCAAAGGGCUUUAAAGCUGCUAAAGUGCUGAUUAAAGGAUUGGGGAAAAAGUUGAAAGCAUUGCCAAAGUUCUUCUCCAAACAAGCCAAAAACAGUUUAAGUGCCGUCACAAAGACAAAUAUGAAGAAUGCAGUCAAAUACACAACUAAAAAAGUGGCAGAAGAAGUCAUAAACUAUGGACUUGGGAAAGCAGAAGAAGAAAUAUUAAAACAAAUACUACAAGGCAUCAAAAAUGAGGUGAAAAAUGGAAUCAAUGAUAAAGUGAAAUCCAACAUGGAAAAACAGGAAUUGGCUACAUUAGUAGACUCCAUUAUACUGUCACAGCUGAGGGAUAAAGAGCAACUCCGUGAUCUCUUGGAGGAUAAGAACAGAAAGGGCAAACUGCUGUCCAUUUUCAAAAAGUUAAGUGACACUGCAAUUCAGCCAUUUUAUGCAGACCUCAGCUGGCAGAAGAAGCUGAACUCAUCAUUCACCAAAGUGAUCAACAAAGUCAAAGCAGAGGCCAAAGGGAAAGUACGUGCAAUUCUAACGGCCAUCCAAGCAGUCCACAUGGGGGUGCUGGCAGGAGAUGCCAUCGCUUCAGUGGUCAGUCUCAGUGGAGAGUUUUUCUCAAACCUUGCUGAACAGAUGAAUACAUUUAAAAAAGACAUUUCAUCAGAGAAAGUGAAGGUAAAUGAGCUGUCUGAUUCAGACAGGAAGCUACUGCAAGAAUUCAAGGAAGAACUGACCAACACCAUCAGUGCUUUGUUGGCUGAUGCUUCUGUCGAAGUUUUCCACCAGAAAUUCUCCACUCACCUUGUUUCUCAUGUUCAAAACAAAGUAAAUGGAGUCAUUGGAAAAUAUGUAAGAGACGGCUUAAAGACAGACAGAACAGAGGAAAAACUCAGAGCUGGACAGCACAACAGUUACAUCGCAUACAUGCCAGCAACCCCCAGCUCUAAACCUGCUGGAGUGGCAGUGCAGACACAUGCUGAAAAGAUUAAGAAAUCCACGACUGCAGGCACCAUUCUUGAUAUGAGAGUUCUGUCUGAAACUACAGGUGCUAAAGUUGUCAUCUUAACACAGGAUAAGCAUGGCAGACUUACCAAAAUGCAGGAGCUGAACCCAAGCAGUAAGCCUGCCAGUCAAACUGUGACACUGAUCUACAGACCAAAGAGUGCACAAUACCCUGAUGGCCACUAUGAUGUGCAAAUCAAUGACAAAAUAGUGACUGUAGACAACAAGGGCAAGAGCUGCCUGUUUCAUGCUUUGGCACGGGGCAUGAAACCAGACGCCAGUGAUGAAGAAAUCAGUUUGGAAGCAGGCCGCCUCCGAACUUUAGAGGCUGACACUCUCCUUGAACACCCAGGUCAAUGGGAGCCAUUCAUCAUGCGCAAAGAGUGGACUGAAGCAAUCAGAGGAGGGGACUGGUACAUGGAAGAGGGAGCUGGACCAAAAAGUAUCAUAAAAGAAAACAAAAAGGUCCUAAAAACAGAGGUUGGAAAAGUAAAGUUGUACAAAGAAUGGCAGAAAUACAAACAACCAUAUUCAAAUUUGGGUAAGAUCAUCAAUGCUGACCAUCAGCCACCAGUCAGUAGUAUACUGGAUGCUAGAAAACUGAACCAGAACAGCAAAUUAGCAGAAGCCAUGCUUGAAGUGGCAACCAGCUCAUCUCCUCUGGAUCCCAAUCUGAUUAAGGAUGUCCACAAAUAUCAUGGUCGUGAACUUCCAGCUGUGUAUGUGCCUAAAGAAGUACAUUAUGAGUUUUCAAGCACAAAGUCUAAAGCAUUCAGAACAUUCCUAGCUACCACCAUAAGCAAAGAUGAUGUGGUGGGCACCUUCAAACAGACCAUCCUUGGUGCAAUGGUGAGAUUUAGGUUGGAUACAACCAAGAAUUUUAAAGACUUUAAGAAUAGCCAAAAAAGUAAAACCAGGCUGGCUAUUUUUGAAAUGAGUUUUCAACAACAUAGUGUGAAGAUGGCAAACUCAUGGUUUGACCUGCUUCAGGGCAAAGGUGUCAUGACCAGUAAUGAUCUCAAUGCUAUUACUACAUGGAUCCAAAACAAGGGCUACAAUGAUCAGAACGAUCCAGACAGGAACCAGGUUGUUAACCUUCUGUGA